CGUGUAGGCGGUCGGUCAAGUCCGAUGUGAAAGCCCGGGGCUCAGCCCCGGAAGUGCAUCGGAAACUAGCCGGCUGGAGCGCGAUAGAGGAGGGUGGAAUUCCUGGUGUAGCGGUGAAAUGCGUAGAUAUCUGGAGGAACACCGGCGGCGAAGGCGGCCCUCUGGAUCGUUGCUGACGCUGAGACGCGAAAGCGUGGGGAGCAAACAGGAUUAGAUACCCUGGUAGUCCACGCUGUAAACGAUGGGUACUAGGUGUUCGGGGUAUUGACCCCCUGAGUGCCGCAGCUAACGCAUUAAGUACCCCGCCUGGGGACUACGGCCGCAAGGUUAAA
Molecule: ribosomal RNA, 332 nt
Filed under: uncultured bacterium
Lineage: Bacteria
Description: bacterial SSU rRNA
Rfam family: Bacterial small subunit ribosomal RNA
Source: RNAcentral